GACGAACCGUGCGAACGUUGUUCGGAAUCACUGGGCGUAAAGGGUGCGUAGGUGGCCUGUUAAGUUUGAUGUGAAAGCUCAGGGCUUAACCCUGAAAUGGCAUUGAAUACUAGCGGGCUGGAGGAUUGGAGGGGGGACUGGAAUUCUUGGUGUAGCAGUGAAAUGCGUAGAUAUCAAGAGGAACACCAGUGGCGAAGGCGAGUCCCUGGACAACACCUGACACUGAGGCACGAAAGCCGGGGGAGCAAACAGG
Molecule: ribosomal RNA, 253 nt
Filed under: uncultured bacterium
Lineage: Bacteria
Description: partial 16S ribosomal RNA
Rfam family: Bacterial small subunit ribosomal RNA
Source: RNAcentral